RNAcentral lists this ribosomal RNA (250 nucleotides) under uncultured bacterium. RNAcentral's name for it is "partial 16S ribosomal RNA". It matches the Rfam family "Bacterial small subunit ribosomal RNA", at positions 524 to 773 of the family's 1533-position model. The record is from RNAcentral.
UACGGAGGAUGCAAGCGUUAUCCGGAUUCAUUGGGUUUAAAGGGUGCGUAGGCGGAUAUGUAAGUCAGGGGUGAAAUCCGGCAGCUCAACUGUCGAACUGCCUCUGAUACUGCAUGUCUGGAGUUGGCGUGAGGCAGGCGGAAUAUGACAUGUAGCGGUGAAAUGCAUAGAUAUGUCAUAGAACACCGAUAGCGAAGGCAGCCUGCCAAAGCCAUACUGACGCUGAUGCACGAAAGCGUGGGUAGCGAAC